AGUGGGGAAUCUUGCGCAAUGGGCGAAAGCCUGACGCAGCCAUGCCGCGUGUAUGAUGAAGGUCUUAGGAUUGUAAAAUACUUUCACCGGGGAAGAUAAUGACGGUACCCGGAGAAGAAGCCCCGGCUAACUUCGUGCCAGCAGCCGCGGUAAUACGAAGGGGGCUAGCGUUGCUCGGAAUUACUGGGCGUAAAGGGCGCGUAGGCGGAUAGUUUAGUCAGAGGUGAAAGCCCAGGGCUCAACCUUGGAAUUGCCUUUGAUACUGGCUAUCUUGAGUUCGGGAGAGGUGAGUGGAAUGCCGAGUGUAGAGGUGAAAUUCGUAGAUAUUCGGCGGAACACCAGUGGCGAAGGCGACUCACUGGCCCGAUACUGACGCUGAGGCGCGAAAGCGUGGGGAGCAAA
Molecule: ribosomal RNA, 402 nt
Filed under: uncultured Caulobacteraceae bacterium
Lineage: Bacteria; Pseudomonadati; Pseudomonadota; Alphaproteobacteria; Caulobacterales; Caulobacteraceae
Description: bacterial SSU rRNA
Rfam family: Bacterial small subunit ribosomal RNA
Source: RNAcentral